This 460-nucleotide ribosomal RNA is filed under the name uncultured bacterium. RNAcentral's name for it is "partial 16S ribosomal RNA". It matches the Rfam family "Bacterial small subunit ribosomal RNA", at positions 338 to 795 of the family's 1533-position model. The record is from RNAcentral.
CCUACGGGUGGCAGCAGUGAGGAAUAUUGGUCAAUGGGCGCGAGCCUGAACCAGCCAAGUCGCGUGAAGGAUGACUGCCCUCCGGGUUGUAAACUUCUUUUAUAAAGAAAUAAAGUGAGGCACGUGUGCCUUUUUGUAUGUACUUUAUGCAUAAGGAUCGGCUAACUCCGUGCCAGCAGCCGCGGUAAUACGGAGGAUCCGAGCGUUAUCCGGUAUUAUUGGGUUUAAAGGGAGCGUAGUUGGGUUGUUAAGUCAGUUGUGAAAGUUUGCGGCUCAACCGUAAAACUGCAAUUGAUACUGGCAGUCUUGAGUACAGUUGAGGUAGGCGGAAUUCGUGGUGUAGCGGUGAAAUGCUUAGAGAUCACGAAGAACUCCGAUUGCGAAGGCAGCUUACUAAACUGCCACUGACAUUGAUGCUCGAAAGUGUGGGUAGCAAACAGGAUUAGAUACCCCAGUAGUC